GACGAACGCUGGCGGCGUGCUUAACACAUGCAAGUCGAACGGAAAGGCCCUGCUUUUGUGGGGUGCUCGAGUGGCGAACGGGUGAGUAACACGUGAGUAACCUGCCCUUGACUGUGGGAUAACUUCAGGAAACUGGGGCUAAUACCGGAUAGGAGCUCCUGCUGCAUGGUGGGGGUUGGAAAGUUUCGGCGGUUGGGGAUGGACUCGCGGCUUAUCAGCUUGUUGGUGGGGUAGGGGCUUACCAAGGCUUUGACGGGUAGCCGGCCUGAGAGGGUGACCGGCCACAUUGGGCCUGAGAUACGGCCCAGACUCCUACGGGAGGCAGCAGUGGGGAAUAUUGCACAAUGGGCGGAAGCCUGAUGCAGCAACGCCGCGUGCGGGAUGACGGCCUUCGGGUUGUAAACCGCUUUCGCCUGUGACGAAGCGUGAGUGACGGUAAUGGGUAAAGAAGCACCGGCUAACUACGUG
RNAcentral lists this ribosomal RNA (468 nucleotides) under uncultured bacterium. RNAcentral's name for it is "partial 16S ribosomal RNA". It matches the Rfam family "Bacterial small subunit ribosomal RNA", at positions 28 to 507 of the family's 1533-position model. The record is from RNAcentral.